RNAcentral lists this transfer RNA (69 nucleotides) under Ictidomys tridecemlineatus (thirteen-lined ground squirrel). RNAcentral describes it as "Spermophilus tridecemlineatus (thirteen-lined ground squirrel) tRNA". It matches the Rfam family "tRNA". Rfam says of the family: Transfer RNA (tRNA) molecules are approximately 80 nucleotides in length. Their secondary structure includes four short double-helical elements and three loops (D, anti-codon, and T loops). Further hydrogen bonds mediate the characteristic L-shaped molecular structure. tRNAs have two regions of fundamental functional importance: the anti-codon, which is responsible for specific mRNA codon recognition, and the 3' end, to which the tRNAs corresponding amino acid is attached (by aminoacyl-tRNA synthetases). tRNAs cope with the degeneracy of the genetic code in two manners: having more than one tRNA (with a specific anti-codon) for a particular amino acid; and 'wobble' base-pairing, i.e. permitting non-standard base-pairing at the 3rd anti-codon position. Lineage: Eukaryota; Metazoa; Chordata; Mammalia; Rodentia; Sciuridae. The record is from Rfam by way of RNAcentral. RNAcentral also lists the same sequence under 1 other name.
GGGGUUGUGGCUCAGCGGUAGAGCACUUGCCUAGCAUGCAUGAGGCCCUGGGUUUGAAUCUCAGUACCA